Molecule: long non-coding RNA, 487 nt
Organism: Quercus lobata
Lineage: Eukaryota; Viridiplantae; Streptophyta; Magnoliopsida; Fagales; Fagaceae
Exons: 3
Source: RefSeq, a predicted model, not a curated record
CUAAGUCCCCGCAAAACUGUACUGUCGAAGAUAUCGAAGCGAAGCUCCGCCACGCCGAUCUUCGCCGCCAGCAAUGCGAUGGGAAAUUGUCAAACAAGGCUCGAGCAAAGCCCAGAAGCCCAUCACGGUCCUCAUCUAAUGAGGAAGAUCUUGGUUAGCGCCUUGAAGCGAAGCUCCAAGCUGCUGAGCAGAAGAGUAAUCCAUUAUGGGCAGCAAGUUGGUGCCGAGUUCAGUACAACAAAGUGAGCUGAGCGUGUUAACCAUGUCCAACCUCGACAUCAUGAACCACAUUUACGCAACCCAUGUUCAUGGUGACGAAAAGUUUGAUGUUGAGUCUCUUUUCGUUCUCGUCGAAAACAUCCUUAAGCGUGCCACCCUAAUUGUUGACCAUGUUGCACUGGUACACUACCAUAAUUCUUUAUUAGAAUAAGAUGCUCUCUCUCUCUCUCUCUUGUUUAUUUUCUUUUUCCUAAAACGGAAUUUUAAC